This 249-nucleotide ribosomal RNA is filed under the name uncultured bacterium. RNAcentral's name for it is "partial 16S ribosomal RNA". It matches the Rfam family "Bacterial small subunit ribosomal RNA", at positions 335 to 601 of the family's 1533-position model. The record is from RNAcentral.
UCUCCUACGGGGGGCAGCAGUGGGGAAUAUUGCACAAUGGGGGAAACCCUGAUGCAGCGACGCCGCGUGAGUGAAGAAGUAUUUCGGUAUGUAAAGCUCUAUCAGCAGGGAAGAUAAUGACGGUACCUGACUAAGAAGCCCCGGCUCACUACGUGCCAGCUGCCGCGGUUCUACGUAGGGGGCAAGCGUUGUCCGGAUUUACUGGGUGUAAAGGGCGUGUAGCCGGGUUGACAAGUCAGAUGUGAAAUC